GUCUAUGACCAUGCCACCCUGAACAAACCCAAUCUAAUCUAUCUCAGAAGCUAAGCAGGGUCGGGCCUGGUUAGUACUUGGAUGGGAGACCACCUAGGAAGACCGGGUGCUGUAGGCA
Molecule: ribosomal RNA, 118 nt
Filed under: Pteropus alecto (black flying fox)
Lineage: Eukaryota; Metazoa; Chordata; Mammalia; Chiroptera; Pteropodidae
Source: RNAcentral